GAUGAACGCUGGCGGCGUGCCUAACACAUGCAAGUCGAACGGAGUCGUUUUGGAAAUCUCUUCGGAGAUGGAAUUCUCGACUUAGUGGCGGACGGGUGAGUAACGCGUGAGCAAUCUGCCUUUAAGAGGGGGAUAACAGUCGGAAACGGCUGCUAAUACCGCAUAAAGCAUUAAAUUCGCAUGUUUUUGAUGCCAAAGGGGCAAUCCGCUUUUAGAUGAGCGCGCGUCUGAUUAGCUAGUUGGCGGGGUAACGGCCCACCAAGGCGACGAUCAGUAGCCGGAAUGAGAGGUUGAACGGCCACAUUGGGACUGAGACACGGCGCAGACUCCUACGGGAGGCAGCAGUGGGGAAUAUUGCGCAAUGGGGGAAACCGUGACGAAGCAACGCCGCGUGAUUGAAGAAGGCCUUCGGGUUGUAAAGAUCUUUAAUCAGGGACGAAACAAAUGACGGUACCUGAAGAGUAAGCGCAGGCUAACUACGUG
Molecule: ribosomal RNA, 483 nt
Filed under: uncultured bacterium
Lineage: Bacteria
Description: partial 16S ribosomal RNA
Rfam family: Bacterial small subunit ribosomal RNA
Source: RNAcentral